This 111-nucleotide ribosomal RNA is filed under the name Bacillus safensis. Lineage: Bacteria; Bacillati; Bacillota; Bacilli; Caryophanales; Bacillaceae. The record is from RNAcentral.
UGGUGGCGAUAGCGAGGAGGUCACACCCGUUCCCAUACCGAACACGGAAGUUAAGCUCUUCAGCGCCGAUGGUAGUUGGGGGUUUCCCCCUGUGAGAGUAGGACGCCGCCA